GACGAACGCUGGCGGCGUGCCUAAUACAUGCAAGUCGAGCGAAAAGUUUCUGGUGCUUGCACUAGAACAACUUAGCGGCGAACGAGUGAGUAACACGUAAAGAACCUCCCUCAUAGACUGGGACAACUCUGGGAAACGAUAGCUAAUACAGGAUAACAGUAUUUCUCGCUUGUGAGAUGUUUAAAAGUUGGUUAUGCUAACACCAUGAGAUGGCUUUGCGGUUCAUUAGAUAGUUGGUGGGGUAAAGGCCCACCAAGGCGACGAUGCAUAGCCGACCUGAGAGGGUGAUCGGCCACACUGGGACUGAGGCACGGCCCAGACCUCGACGGGAGACAGCAGUAGGGAAUCUUCCGCAAUGGGCGGAAGCCUGACGGAGGAACGCCGCGUGAGUCAAGCAGGACUUCGGUUCGUAAAGCUCUGUUGUUAGGGAAGUAUGGAUCUGUAGUAACUAUACAUGUAAGGGACGGUAGCUAUCCAGAAAGCCACGGCUAACUACGUG
This 499-nucleotide ribosomal RNA is filed under the name uncultured bacterium. Its description in RNAcentral is "partial 16S ribosomal RNA". It matches the Rfam family "Bacterial small subunit ribosomal RNA", at positions 28 to 507 of the family's 1533-position model. The record is from RNAcentral.